Molecule: long non-coding RNA, 665 nt
Organism: Rana temporaria (common frog)
Lineage: Eukaryota; Metazoa; Chordata; Amphibia; Anura; Ranidae
Exons: 2
Source: RefSeq, a predicted model, not a curated record
CCCUGAUUCACCAGGUGGUUGAUGAACCAAUCCUAGCCCUGCCAGGAAUCAGGACAUAAUGAGGAGUUUUGUUCAGAACAGCAACAAAAGCUCCAGCAUCUGUGUGCCUCGAAAACAAUCUGUGACAUUUCUAUAUGUAUGUGUAAAAUACAUCACUGCUCUUGCAAGACUUUUACCUAAAAGGAGAAUCGGACAGGAAAAUAUAGAAGCUCAAUGAUAACAGAUGACAAAAGGUGCUGCCAGGAUUACAAAAAGAAAACUAAAAAGGCAUUGCUAAAUGGCGAUUACAUUCUUCUCCAGCAACCCCCAUAGAGUAUCAGUAAUCAAGUCUCCAAAGUGGCUUUACAACUUGUCACUGCAUUGACAUUUUUGCACCAAGAGGAGAGAAGGCAACUAAACAACAAUGAAAUUGGCUAUCAUGAGUUGUAAGGCUGGACAGUUUUAACAAAAUAAUAGUUGUCUUGUUAUCUUGGAUAUGGUUAUUAACCCUUUUAAACUUAAGGGUAAAACAAAUCUUGAUGACUAAGCACAAUUUUGAAACGUUGACAUGUGUUCGUGAAACCGUACAUAUCCCCACAACUACUGUACACCCAGAUAAAUUGUACCACUUGUUUUCCUGGACAAAUUGGACUUUCAUUUGGUGGUAAUGGUUAUGGAUAUCUCCU